Molecule: non-coding RNA, 28 nt
Filed under: Bombyx mori (domestic silkworm)
Lineage: Eukaryota; Metazoa; Arthropoda; Insecta; Lepidoptera; Bombycidae
Source: RNAcentral
UAAGAAUGCCCUUGGAUGAGACGAAGUC